GACGAACGCUGGCGGCGUGCUUAACACAUGCAAGUCGAACGGAAAGGCCCUGCUUUUGUGGGGUGCUCGAGUGGCGAACGGGUGAGUAACACGUGAGUAACCUGCCCUUGACUUUGGGAUAACUUCAGGAAACUGGGGCUAAUACCGGAUAGGAGCUCCUGCUGCAUGGUGGGGGUUGGAAAGUUUCGGCGGUUGGGGAUGGACUCGCGGCUUAUCAGCUUGUUGGUGGGGUAGUGGCUUACCAAGGCUUUGACGGGUAGCCGGCCUGAGAGGGUGACCGGCCACAUUGGGACGGAGAUACGGCCCAGACUCCUACGGGAGGCAGCAGUGGGGAAUAGUGCACAAUGGGCGGAAGCCUGAUGCAGCAACGCCGCGUGCGGGAUGACGGCCUGCGGGUUGUAAACCGCUUUCGCCUGUGACGAAGCGUGAGUGACGGUAAUGGGUAAAGAAGCACCGGCUAACUACGUG
Molecule: ribosomal RNA, 468 nt
Filed under: uncultured bacterium
Lineage: Bacteria
Description: partial 16S ribosomal RNA
Rfam family: Bacterial small subunit ribosomal RNA
Source: RNAcentral